UACAGAGGUCUCAAGCGUUGUUCGGAUUCAUUGGGCGUAAAGGGUGCGUAGGUGGCGCCGUAAGUCAGGUGUGAAAUCUCGGGGCUCAACCCCGAAACUGCACUUGAUACUGCGGUGCUCGAGUACUGGAGAAGAGAUUGGAAUUUACGGUGUAGCAGUGAAAUGCGUAGAUAUCGUAAGGAAGACCGGUGGCGAAGGCGCCCACCUGGCCUGCUACUGACGCUGAAGCUCGAAAGCUAGGGGAGCAAACGGG
RNAcentral lists this ribosomal RNA (253 nucleotides) under uncultured bacterium. Its description in RNAcentral is "partial 16S ribosomal RNA". It matches the Rfam family "Bacterial small subunit ribosomal RNA", at positions 524 to 776 of the family's 1533-position model. The record is from RNAcentral.